CGGAUGAGGAACACGGCUGGGGGUUCCUUCCUCUUACCGCGGCAUGGCGAAAAUGGAUCCUCGCUUCAGGAAACGUGCUGAUGGCAGUCUAAACAUCACAGACACAAUUGAUGCGACAAAGGUGAAGGAUAGCAACAAAGGAAAGCCGUGGAUGCAAACCAUGUCCCCAGAGGGAGUGUUGGAGAAGAAGGCCAAAAAAGCUUUAAUUCAGCACUAUGGAGAUCCAUCCAUGGUUUCUUUGAAAUCCAGUUUGGUGUGUUUCGCGUGCAGACAUUCAGGUGGAGUGGCUGAAUAUCUGCACGCUGCUUACCUGGUGGCAACAACACAGAGGGACGCAACAGAAGGCAGUAAAUACUCCCAAGACCAUGGCCACAACGAGAGGUGUGAGACCACCCAGCACUCUAUUCCCACCUAACACAAUGCCCCGACCAAGCACUCUGCGCCAACCCAGCACGCUAACACCACCCAGCACGCUGCCCCCAUCCAACAGGCUGCCACCACCUCUCCCUCUUGGUUAGGAAGGUGAUCAGAAAAGCCUGACCAAUGCUGUGAAAAGCCUGGUUCUCCCCUUCAAAGCCAAACCAUGCAUGUGCAUGGCCAUCACCCAGCCUCACCCACCCAACUGUGUCCACGAAGCUGGAUGAUAGCACGCUGCUGGCAGAGGCAUUGAGGUUUGAGGAGGCACACGUUGCACCACAACGAGUCUCUUCAGCUGGCUGGAUGCACACCUUGCCUGAAGUGGACCAGAGGUGGAUAUCAAAGGCCCUGUUCAGGUGCACAGCACAAUGGCAUCCUGCUCUGGACUUUAGCAGGGUGGACAGACUUUAUCCUCCACAGGUGCCACUGAAGACCAGUAAUUAUCCUCCACUGGAAACUUACUUUGGCCAUCCCCUGCUGCUCUGGAAGCCAUGAAAGCUGUGGCAAGUCAAGCAUCGUGUCAUAUAGAAGUCAUUGUUAUUGUAACUAUGUAAAAACAGAAAGCGGGUUUGGACGUUUCUGUGUUCUUAUUUGUCUGUUUUUUUUAUUGAUGUUGCACUUUAUUUCAUUACAUUUUAUUGGCAUUUAGUUUAUUUAUGCCUAAAGUCAUUUAUGUUACACUUUAUUGUUAUUAUCAUCAUUGCUGUUAUCAUCAUUCUUGUUCUAACUAUCUUAAACAAUAUAC
Molecule: long non-coding RNA, 1162 nt
Organism: Anarrhichthys ocellatus (wolf-eel)
Lineage: Eukaryota; Metazoa; Chordata; Actinopteri; Perciformes; Anarhichadidae
Exons: 4
Source: RefSeq, a predicted model, not a curated record